Molecule: transfer RNA, 71 nt
Filed under: Candidatus Pseudogracilibacillus intestinigallinarum
Lineage: Bacteria; Bacillati; Bacillota; Bacilli; Caryophanales; Bacillaceae
Also listed under: 1 other name
Description: tRNA-Thr
Rfam family: tRNA
About the family: Transfer RNA (tRNA) molecules are approximately 80 nucleotides in length.
Source: RNAcentral
GCCAGUAUAGUUUAAUGGUAGAACACCGCCAUGGUAAGGCGGCGAUGUGAGUUCGAUUCUCACUACUGGCU